GACAGAGGGUGCAAACGUUGCUCGGAAUUACUGGGCGUAAAGCGCGUGUAGGCGGGUCGGUGUGUCGGACGUGAAAUCCCUAGGCUCAACCUAGGAACUGCGCCCGAAACUGCCGAUCUUGAGUGGUGGAGAGGGAAGUGGAAUUCCUGGUGUAGAGGUGAAAUUCGUAGAUAUCAGGAGGAACACCAGUGGCGAAGGCGGCUUCCUGGACACCAACUGACGCUGAGACGCGAAAGCGUGGGGAGCAAACAGG
RNAcentral lists this ribosomal RNA (253 nucleotides) under uncultured bacterium. RNAcentral's name for it is "partial 16S ribosomal RNA". It matches the Rfam family "Bacterial small subunit ribosomal RNA", at positions 524 to 776 of the family's 1533-position model. The record is from RNAcentral.